Molecule: ribosomal RNA, 325 nt
Filed under: uncultured eukaryote
Lineage: Eukaryota
Description: partial 18S ribosomal RNA
Rfam family: Eukaryotic small subunit ribosomal RNA
Source: RNAcentral
CCCUUAGAUGUUCUGGGCCGCACGCGCGCUACACUGAUGCAUUCAACGAGCCUAUCCUUGACCGACAGGUCCGGGUAAUCUUUGAAUCUGCAUCGUGACGGGGAUAGAUUAUUGCAAUUAUUAAUCUUCAACGAGGAAUGCCUAGUAGGCGCAAGUCAUCAGCUUGCGUCGAUUACGUCCCUGCCCUUUGUACACACCGCCCGUCGCUCCUACCGAUUGGGUGUGCUGGUGAAAUGUUCGGAUCGGCCGUUUGUCGCGGUUUCCGCGUCAUGUGGCUGAGAAGUUCAUUAAACCCUCCCACCUAGAGGAAGGAGAAGUUGUAACA